UGGCAAGGAGGGGUCGUCGUCGACGUAGUCGAUCACAAGGGCAGCAUCGGUCUCGGGGUCUACCGGAGAGAAGAGGGGGAAGAAACAGUAAAUAUAAAGCAAACAUAGCACCACAAAGCAUAACAUGGCAAUAAGAUGUGCCGGGUGUGACCUAACGCGGUAGGAGGUGAUAGCGGCGAAGGGGGGAAACAUCCGGGAAAGUAUCCCCGGUGUUUCGCGUUUUCAGACAGAUGAUUCGGAGGGGAAAAGUUGCAUGUUCGCUAUGCAAGGGAUGAGUGGCGGACGAACGGGCUGCAUAUCCGGGUUCGUCUCAUCGUUCUGAGCAACUUUCAUGUACAAAGUUUUUGCAUCCGAACUACGGUUUAUUUUAUAAUAAUUUUUCAAAGCUUAAUUGAAUUCUUGGGAUUAUUAUAUUUAGCUUAAACCGAAUUGACUAAGUUAAAUUUGACUAGUCAAAGGGCAGGUGUGGCCCACAUGUCAUAGACUAUUUACCUAAACGAUUAAACAAAUCUAACUUAUUUAAAAGGGCCUACAUGUCAUCUACUACUAAACUAACUUAACAUUAAUUAAACCUAGUAGAAAUAAUCUAAGCUAGGGCCGGCCAUUAAUGGGCAUAGCCCAACCGGCCACACGCAUGAUGCACACAUACACACAGGAGCACACGGCCAUGGCCAACUGUACGCACACACACUAUGCAGAACACACACUCACCCACACAUAGCUCUGUUUUCUGCUAACAAAAGAUAGUAUUUUGUGAUUUUCAUCGAAUUUAAUCUAUUCACUAAAAGGAUUUGGUCCAAUGGAAACAUUUGAGCAUUGUCAAGUGUACUACCCGCACAUAUUUAUUUUAGCUAUGUUAGGCUUGAUCUAGUUGCUGUUUUGAGGUUGUUUAGAGGGCCAGUCAGCAUAAUAGAUGCAAAGCUGGCUACUGCUACAGUAACUGAACGUUACUGUAGCAGAGGAGCAUCAGCAGCAGUGCAGCGGCGCGGCGAUGCUGGAGGUGGGCGUGGCCGGGCGUGGGCUCGACCACCCACUCAAUGCACACACACACUGCACGCACGCACUCACCACACACACAGCACGCCCGCACGCACACGGGGGCGCACCGCGCGAGCGGCAGAGGCGGCACGCGGGCAGAGCAGCCAGGGGGGCGCACAGGCGAGCGCGGCGCUACGGGGCCCUACGCGCGUGCUGAGCAUGACUGCGAGCUCGGACGAGCGCAUCGGCGAGCGUGGCCACGACGAGGAGCUCGACGGCGGCGUUGUGUUCGGACACCGUAGAAGCGGAGAGCUACGGGCGCAGCAAUUUAAAGGAGGAAAAGGAAGAGGUGACGGAGCUCACCGAGCGGCUCAAGGUGGCCCGUGGAAGAUUAGUAGCAGCAGAGUCGCCGGGGACGGAGGAGGAUCGCCGGCGGCCGAAGCAAAGGGAACGGCUCGAUCCGCGGCGUAGCAGAGCUCUCCUGCUCGCGCUCGUGGUUGAGGACGAUGUAGUCGAGACCGGCGGAGACGAUGGAUAGGACGGCGAAGCGAUGCGAUGGCUGUGGCCGCGUGGACGACGGAGAACGGCGGCGACCGCGUCGGUCUCCUCACCAGAACGAAGGAGAGGGAGAGGAGAGAGGUGGAUCUGGGGGAGGAGAGGCGCAAGUGGGGG
This 1650-nucleotide long non-coding RNA is filed under the name Triticum aestivum (bread wheat). RNAcentral's name for it is "long non-coding RNA (TAES_LNC001584)". Lineage: Eukaryota; Viridiplantae; Streptophyta; Magnoliopsida; Poales; Poaceae. The record is from RNAcentral.